UGGGUAAUAUUGCUCAAUGGGCGCAAGCCUGAAGCAGCGACGCCGCGUGAGGGAUGAAGGCCUUCGGGUUGUAAACCUCUUUCAGCGCCGAAGAAGCGAAAGUGACGGUAGGCGCAGAAGAAGCACCGGCUAACUACGUGCCAGCAGCCGCGGUAAUACGUAGGGUGCAAGCGUUGUCCGGAAUCAUUGGGCGUAAAGAGCUCGUAGGCGGUCUGUCGCGUCUGCUGUGAAAACCUGGGGAUUAGCCCUGGUCUUGCAGUGGGUAGGGGCAGACUAGAGUGAGGUGGGGGAGACUGGAAUUCCUGGUAGAGCGGUGAAAUGCGCAGAUAUAAGGAGGAACACCGGUGGCGAAGGCGGGUCUCUGGGCCGUAACUGACGCUGAGGAGCGAAAGAAUGGGUAGCGAAAAGG
RNAcentral lists this ribosomal RNA (409 nucleotides) under bacterium. RNAcentral's name for it is "partial 16S ribosomal RNA". It matches the Rfam family "Bacterial small subunit ribosomal RNA", at positions 355 to 776 of the family's 1533-position model. The record is from RNAcentral.